UAGAGUUUGGAUCCUGGCUCAGAUUGAACGCUGGCGGCAGGCCUAACACAUGCAAGUCGAGCGGAAACGACUUAACUGAACCUUCGGGGAACGUUAAGGGCGUCGAGCGGCGGACGGGUGAGUAAUGCCUGGGAAAUUGCCCUGAUGUGGGGGAUAACCAUUGGAAACGAUGGCUAAUACCGCAUAAUAGCUUCGGCCCAAAGAGGGGGACCUUCGGGCCUCUCGCGUCAGGAUAUGCCCAGGUGGGAUUAGCUAGUUGGUGAGGUAAGGGCUCACCAAGGCGACGAUCCCUAGCUGGUCUGAGAGGAUGAUCAGCCACACUGGAACUGAGACACGGUCCAGACUCCUACGGGAGGCAGCAGUGGGGAAUAUUGCACAAUGGGCGCAAGCCUGAUGCAGCCAUGCCGCGUGUAUGAAGAAGGCCUUCGGGUUGUAAAGUACUUUCAGCAGUGAGGAAGGUGGUGCAGUUAAUAGCUG
RNAcentral lists this ribosomal RNA (477 nucleotides) under Vibrio sp. EF1C-B793. RNAcentral's name for it is "bacterial SSU rRNA". It matches the Rfam family "Bacterial small subunit ribosomal RNA", at positions 1 to 469 of the family's 1533-position model. Lineage: Bacteria; Pseudomonadati; Pseudomonadota; Gammaproteobacteria; Vibrionales; Vibrionaceae. The record is from RNAcentral.